UACGAAGGGGGCUAGCGUUGUUCGGAAUUACUGGGCGUAAAGCGUGCGCAGGCGGUUUUGUAAGCCAGAUGUGAAAUCCCCGGGCUUAACCUGGGAAUGGCAUUUGGGACUGCAAGGCUUGAGUGCGGCAGAGGAGACUGGAAUUCCCGGUGUAGCAGUGAAAUGCGUAGAUAUCGGGAGGAAUACCGAUGGCGAAGGCAGGUCUCUGGGCUGACACUGACGCUCAUGCACGAAAGCGUGGGGAGCAAACAGG
Molecule: ribosomal RNA, 253 nt
Filed under: uncultured bacterium
Lineage: Bacteria
Description: partial 16S ribosomal RNA
Rfam family: Bacterial small subunit ribosomal RNA
Source: RNAcentral